GACGAACGCUGGCGGCGUGCUUAACACAUGCCAGUCGAACGGAAAGGCCCUGCUUUUGUGGGGGGCUCGAGUGGCGAACGGGUGAGUAACACGGGGGUAACCUGCCCUUGACUUUGGGAUAACUUCAGGAAACUGGGGCUAAUACCGGAUAGGAGCUCCUGCUGCAUGGGGGGGGUUGGAAAGUUUCGGCGGUUGGGGAUGGACUCGCGGCUUAUCAGCUUGUUGGUGGGGUAGUGGCUUACCAAGGCUUUGACGGGUAGCCGGCCUGUGAGGGUGGACGGCCCCAUUGGGCCUGCGAUACGGCCCAGAGGCCUACGGGAGGCAGCAGUGGGGAAUAUUGCACAAUGGGCGGAAGCCGGAUGCAGCAACGCCGCGUGCGGGAUGACGGCUUUGGGGUUGUAAACCGCUUUCGCCUGUGACGAAGCGUGAGUGACGGUAAUGGGUAAAGAAGCACCGGCUAACUACGUG
Molecule: ribosomal RNA, 468 nt
Filed under: uncultured bacterium
Lineage: Bacteria
Description: partial 16S ribosomal RNA
Rfam family: Bacterial small subunit ribosomal RNA
Source: RNAcentral